This 30-nucleotide non-coding RNA is filed under the name Homo sapiens (human). The record is from RNAcentral. Lineage: Eukaryota; Metazoa; Chordata; Mammalia; Primates; Hominidae.
UUAGUAGAGACGGGGUUUCGCCAUGUUGCA